GAAGAAGAAGAAGAAGAAGAAGAUAAAGAGAAAAGGGCAUAUGGGGUUUGGGUAUCUGAAGUGAUGCUGCAACAGACUAGAGCUCAGACUGUGAUUGAUUACUACAACCGUUGGAUGCUUAAAUGGCCCACUCUUCAGCAUCUGGCCCUCGCUUCUCUUGAGGAGGUGAAUGAGAUGUGGGCAGGUUUAGGAUAUUAUAGGCGGGCACGUUUUCUGUUAAAG
Molecule: unclassified non-coding RNA, 222 nt
Filed under: Hevea brasiliensis (rubber tree)
Lineage: Eukaryota; Viridiplantae; Streptophyta; Magnoliopsida; Malpighiales; Euphorbiaceae
Source: RNAcentral